RNAcentral lists this long non-coding RNA (234 nucleotides) under Vigna radiata. Its description in RNAcentral is "long non-coding RNA (VRAD_LNC017912)". The record is from RNAcentral. Lineage: Eukaryota; Viridiplantae; Streptophyta; Magnoliopsida; Fabales; Fabaceae.
GCACAACUGUAGGUUUUUUUAAAAGAAAUAUUUAGGUAAGAGAAGAGAUAAAUGUAAAAUUAUUUUUAUACUUGUUUACUCUAACCAAGCUACAUUCACUCUCCUUCGCAGGGGGUUCUACUAUAAUCUUCAAAAGAUUACAACUGAGUAUUCUCAUAAUUCCUAGUUUGGGUAUUCGCACCACUCCCAAUACUAGACUACCACGCCUAAAUUUUCACUAAGUAUUCGCACCAC